Molecule: ribosomal RNA, 493 nt
Filed under: uncultured bacterium
Lineage: Bacteria
Description: bacterial SSU rRNA
Rfam family: Bacterial small subunit ribosomal RNA
Source: RNAcentral
AAAGGAAUUGACGGGGGCCCGCACAAGCAGCGGAGCAUGUUGUUUAAUUCGAAGCUACGCGAAGAACCUUACCAGGGCUUGACAUCCCUUGAGCGCUCCGGAAACGGAGAGUCCCUACGGGGCAAGGAGACAGGUGGUGCAUGGUUGUCGUCAGCUCGUGUCGUGAGAUGUUAGGUUAAGUCCUGCAACGAGCGCAACCCCUAUGUUCAGUUACUAACGCGUUGAGGCGAGGACUCUGGACAGACUGCCGAGAAUAACUCGGAGGAAGGUGGGGACGACGUCAAAUCAUCAUGCCCCUUAUGUCCUGGGCUACAAACGUGCUACAAUGGUCGCAACAAAGGGAAGCAAAAGCGCAAGCUGGAGCGGAUCUCAAAAAAGCGGUCUCAGUUCGGAUCGUGGGCUGCAACCCGCCCGCGUGAAGUCGGAGUUGCUAGUAAUCGCGGAUCAGCAUGCCGCGGUGAAUACGUUCCCGGGCCUUGUACACACCGCCCGU